This 270-nucleotide ribosomal RNA is filed under the name Boophis picturatus. RNAcentral's name for it is "partial 16S ribosomal RNA". It matches the Rfam family "Bacterial large subunit ribosomal RNA", at positions 2073 to 2508 of the family's 2925-position model. The record is from RNAcentral. Lineage: Eukaryota; Metazoa; Chordata; Amphibia; Anura; Mantellidae.
CCUAUAAGACGAGAAGACCCCAUGGAGCUUUAAAUCCAACAGCACCUAUUACCCAUAUAUCUUUAUAUUUUUUUAGCAAAUGCUCGUUCGGUUUUAGGUUGGGGUGACCAUGGAGUAAAAAAUAACCUCCACGAAAAAAGGCAUAAAACCCUUAUCAAAGAGCCACAUCUCUAUGAAUUAGUAAACUAAUUUCUGAUGAUCCGAUAUUCGAUCAACGAACCAAGUUACCCUGGGGAUAACAGCGCAAUCCGCCUUAAGAGCCCCUAUCGA